UUGGGCCUACGGGGGGCAGCAGUGGGGAAUAUUGGUCAAUGGGCGCGAGCCUGAACCAGCCAAGUCGCGUGAGGGAUGACGGUCCUACGGAUUGUAAACCUCUUUUGUCAGGGAGCAAAGUCACCCACGUGUGGGUGUUGGAGAGUACCUGAAGAAAAAGCAUCGGCUAACUCCGUGCCAGCAGCCGCGGUAAUACGGAGGAUGCGAGCGUUAUCCGGAUUUAUUGGGUUUAAAGGGUGCGUAGGCGGGUUAUAAAGUCA
This 260-nucleotide ribosomal RNA is filed under the name uncultured bacterium. RNAcentral's name for it is "partial 16S ribosomal RNA". It matches the Rfam family "Bacterial small subunit ribosomal RNA", at positions 333 to 590 of the family's 1533-position model. The record is from RNAcentral.